This 812-nucleotide ribosomal RNA is filed under the name uncultured bacterium. RNAcentral describes it as "bacterial SSU rRNA". It matches the Rfam family "Bacterial small subunit ribosomal RNA", at positions 572 to 1398 of the family's 1533-position model. The record is from RNAcentral.
CAGGCGGUUUGUAAGUUUGUCGUGAAAGUCCGGCUCACCUGGGAAUGCGAUGAAGACUGCAAGCUGAAUCUGCAGAGGGGGGGUAGAAUUCACGUGUAGCAGUGAAAUGCGUAGAGAUGUGGAGGAACACCGAUGGCGAAGGCAGCCCCCUGGGUCAAGAUUGACGCUCAUGCACGAAAGCGUGGGGAGCAAACAGGAUUAGAUACCCUGUAGUCCACGCCCUAAACGAUGUCUACUAGUUGUCGGGUUUUAAUUAACUUGGUAACGCAGCUAACGCGUGAAGUAGACCGCCUGGGGAGUACGGUCGCAAGAUUAAAACUCAAAGGAAUUGACGGGGACCCGCACAAGCGGUGGAUGAUGUGGAUUAAUUCGAUGCAACGCGAAAAACCUUACCUACCCUUGACAUGUACGGAAGGCCGGAGAGAUUUGGCUGUGCUCGAAAGAGAACCGUAACACAGGUGCUGCAUGGCUGUCGUCAGCUCGUGUCGUGAGAUGUUGGGUUAAGUCCCGCAACGAGCGCAACCCUUGUCAUUAGUUGCUACGAAAGGGCACUCUAAUGAGACUGCCGGUGACAAACCGGAGGAAGGUGGGGAUGACGUCAAGUCCUCAUGGCCCUUAUGGGUAGGGCUUCACACGUCAUACAAUGGUACAUACAGAGCGCCGCCAACCCGCGAGGGGGAGCUAAUCGCAGAAAGUGUAUCGUAGUCCGGAUUGUAGUCUGCAACUCGACUACAUGAAGUUGGAAUCGCUAGUAAUCGCGGAUCAGCAUGUCGCGGUGAAUACGUUCCCGGGUCUUGCACACACCGCCCGUC